RNAcentral lists this long non-coding RNA (495 nucleotides) under Pongo abelii (Sumatran orangutan). Its description in RNAcentral is "lincRNA". The record is from RNAcentral. Lineage: Eukaryota; Metazoa; Chordata; Mammalia; Primates; Hominidae.
ACGGGUUUGAGAGCUGAGCAGUUCUUCCAGCCUGGCCCAGGGUCUCUCAUAUGCCUGUGGCCAUCUAGUUGCUCGGCAGGGGUUGGAUCAUCUCAGGUAGCUCCUCAGUAACAUGUCUGGAGUAUCUACACCCUUUCUUCACAUUUAUAGGCAACAGAAAGAAGUUCUUCACAGGAAGUGACUUGAAUUUAAUUUGCCAUGGACUUCUUCAGCUGGAUACUAGAAAUCCAUUCAUUCUGUACUGAUCCUGCACUGAGUGCCGGAAAGUGCUGAGGCCCGAUAACAAGGGCAGAACACUUGGCCUCAGAGAGUACACAGCAUCUGGCAGAGAAAGAGAUAUACCACGAAUGGGGUGGUUUCGGAGGUUAAGGAAAACUCCCUCCCCCCACACACUGGGGGCACUGAAGAAAUGAAGAACACGAUGCAUCCACUCUCAAGCAGAGAUUCAGAAAAAAGCUAAAGGAGUUGACUUGCUUGAGUGUAUGCACCUGGGAG